This 66-nucleotide transfer RNA is filed under the name Fragilariopsis kerguelensis. It matches the Rfam family "tRNA". From Rfam's summary of the family: Transfer RNA (tRNA) molecules are approximately 80 nucleotides in length. Their secondary structure includes four short double-helical elements and three loops (D, anti-codon, and T loops). Lineage: Eukaryota; Bacillariophyta; Bacillariophyceae; Bacillariales; Bacillariaceae. The record is from RNAcentral.
AUUUAACUCAGGUGCAGAGUGCUCGCUUUGCAUGCGAGACGUCGGGGUUCGAUUCCCCCAAUCUCC